GACAGAGGGUGCAAACGUUGUUCGGAAUUACUGGGCGUAAAGCGCGUGUAGGCGGUCUAGCAAGUCGGAUGUGAAAGCCCUUGGCUCAACUGAGGAAGUGCAUUCGAAACUGCAAGACUUGAGUCCCGGAGAGGAUGGUGGAAUUCUCGGUGUAGAGGUGAAAUUCGUAGAUAUCGAGAGGAACACCGGUGGCGAAGGCGGCCAUCUGGACGGUGACUGACGCUGAGACGCGAAAGCAU
Molecule: ribosomal RNA, 239 nt
Filed under: uncultured bacterium
Lineage: Bacteria
Description: partial 16S ribosomal RNA
Rfam family: Bacterial small subunit ribosomal RNA
Source: RNAcentral